GCAAGUGAUGAAUCACCCUGGCCUCCUGAUGAUGACAUGGAACCAGAGUGCAGCUUCACAGCAGCAAGAUUUCAAGCAGUUGAUACUGAUGCUACGUUUCUCCAAGAAGGUUGUCAGAGGUGAAGAGGAGACAGAAUUUGAAUGGUGGAAGAAAGAACAAGAGAGGCGUCUGGAGAUGAGUGACAUCCCCUACAUGGAUGACAACUACGUCACUUUGAUUUGAGAGCUUUGCACUCAUGUGUUAUGGACCUUUAGUUAACUGCAUGUUUAUUUCUUGUUUGAACACUUAAAUCAGUUUUAUGAAAGUUUCCCUGUUAUGUAUACCCCCAUUUUUCCCUUUUCUGAUUGGUUCAAAUUCUCUGCAUUGCUGCAAGUCCUUAUAACAUUAUGACCCUCCCAGUAUAGCAAUGUACCAACCCCUUUAUUCCUUUUAUGUACCUCAUUUGCAUGCUCCUCCCUAGUUCCUCCCCUUUUUCCAGACCCUUCCAUUCCAACCUUAUAUAAACCGGUGCAUUCUUAAUAUAGCGACCAUUUUCCCUCAA
This is a long non-coding RNA of Pseudopipra pipra, 542 nucleotides long. RefSeq lists it as uncharacterized. The transcript has 2 exons. Lineage: Eukaryota; Metazoa; Chordata; Aves; Passeriformes; Pipridae. The record is from RefSeq and is a predicted model, not a curated record.